RNAcentral lists this long non-coding RNA (1833 nucleotides) under Heterocephalus glaber (naked mole-rat). RNAcentral's name for it is "lncRNA (ENSHGLG00000049170.1)". The record is from RNAcentral. Lineage: Eukaryota; Metazoa; Chordata; Mammalia; Rodentia; Bathyergidae.
CCUUUAAUCCAGAAGCUUUCUGUUUAUUUAGGCAAUUGACCCAGAGUGCAGGCAGCUUUCGCAAUACACUGGCUUUCCCCAGGCAUUUCCUUUGCCUAUCAGCAAGCACUUGACUUUCCUGGGCAAGCAGGAAGACAACAGCGCCCAGACAAAGCCAGCAGGUCGGUGAGGUUGUGGUGCAGGGCGAUAGGCGUCACCUGGGGAGUGCAGCAGGGACAGCGCUGGAGCCCUUGGGGCCUAGAAAUGCCGAGGGUUAAGGGGAGAGCGCAGGAGAGGCAGGUGGCCCAGGGACACGCAGAGAAGGGACAAAGCGGGAGGGUCCAGCCCACAACUGCAGGCCACAUGAGAGCACCAAGAGAACACCAAGUCUUUAUUACGGGAAUUCCUAUGAAACAGCUCCAAGAAAAAACCCACACAUAGGAGAAAAAAUAAUAAAGCAACACACAGAGACUUGGGGCUGGGGCUUCCCCCCGCUGCGACUGGUCCAGGGGCUGGCAAGGGAGGAGUCGGGGUCACGCCCAGAGCUCCUCUUCUGCCCCUCGGGGUCCAGCCGUCUGGAGCUUCAGUGGGCGGCUGAGGGUUCCCCCUCCCUUCAGCGGCCCGGGCCUGGCCAGGGACCCGCCAAGGCCGGGACCGCGACCAAGACCGUGACCGCGACCGGAGUCCCCAGCACCGCGCGUCCAAACUUGGUCACGCUGCCGGGCUUGAGGACUCUCGGCCGCCAGGGGUCGCAGAAGAGGGGAGGGGGACGAGGAGCGAGGCGCGAACUGGCUCCCCUCACCACGCCCCAUUACCUCGCAGCCACCGGGCCCCACAAAUACUGUGGAUCCACUCCCAGCCCCGCAACCCCGCAACCCCGCAACCCCGCGCAGGGAAGCUGGACCCGGGAGAGUGGCGUCUCCCUCCCCUUGGCAGUGGUCGUGGCCGGUUAAGCUGUCGCGGAGUCAGUUUCCCCUCCUCCCACCACUUUCUGGCUUUGGGCAGGCGCGCCCACCCGGCCCUGCACCUUCUCCAGGGCGUCACUCUUGAGUCCCCCGAGGCCCACCCUUGCAGGACAGACGCCGCCUCGGCUCGGAGGCCACCCUCCGACCCUGUUGGGAGAAGGGGGAAUGCUGAGGGCCACCUCUGGGCACGCCCACCCGCGGCUCUAAGCGGCUCUGCAGCCCGGGGAAAGGCUGAGAUGCAGGUGGCCUAAGAAAGGGGACGAAGUGCCCAGAGAGCCGGGGCCAGGGGUAGGAGGCUGGGCAGAGUCUGAGGCCUGGCUGGAGAGAGGGGGAGGGAGGAAGGCGGGAGCUCGCCUCCAGGCCAAAGAGCCUCAGAGCCUCGUUAGAGUGAUCCUGCUCUUUCCCAACUCCCACCUCUGCACUUUAAGUAGGGCAGGGGUGGUUCCUGUGAUUCCUGGUGAUUCCACUCAUUGCUGUAGAAAAGCCUGGCUGCAAAAGGGGCUGUGACCAGCUGCUGUCUCGAGGGGUCCCGAGCCCCCUCCUCCGAUCACGGAUGGUGACUCCGAAGUUGUAAGGCCGGCAGAAGGUGGCAGUGGCUGGGCUGGACCAUGGCAGGAGAACUACCCGGCCUCCAAAUCAAGUCCGGCUGCAUUUGGGCCUUUAGCAGGGUGCCGCCUUGCUCCUCGGCUGCCCCACCGGGUCGGGUCAGAGCAUCCCUGGCGAGGUGGAGAAGCUGGCACCUGGCAGGGAGAAGAGACAGGUGAAGUCCUUUUUCAAAGGUGCCCACUGGCUGGGCAUGGUAGUGCGUGACUGUAAUCCCGGGACUCUGGGAGCCUGAGGCAGGAGAAUCCUAAGUUCCUGGCAGCCUGGGCAAAACUUAGUAACUUAG